CCGCUCUGACGAGAGAGUGCGCGUGCGCAGUGUGUUUUCGCUGUAAUUCUGGGCCGUGUUCCGGAAGCCGUGUAAGACAAAGGAAACGAGAGGCGGAAAAAAGGAGGACGCUUCCCGAAGCUCUGUCUUCCUCCAGAUGUUGGACUAGUUUUCAUACUAGAUCUUCUCAUGGCAUCAUUAAGGAACUUCACAUUCUUCUCACACUGUUCAUGGAAGGUUCCUGGAACUCCCACAGCAGCAAGGAAACUUCACUUGUAGGAGUCCUUAGCACAUCUGUAAUGUUUUAUUGGCCAAAAUGUGAUACAUCUCCAUUUCUGGAUCAAUCACUGUGGUCAAGUGCAAGACGCUCUGCAGGACUCAACCUGGGGAUGAGGUCUGUCCACUCCAUCUACAUGGUCACUUUGUACUGAGGUUGGAGUCUCACUCUGUAAGGACAGAUCCUGGACUGGUUGGCUGCAUCAAGAUACAUACCACUUUGUGGGGAUCUAUCUGAGUGAGCAGUACACCUAGAAAAUCCCUACGUCUCAUGACUCACAUUUUCUCAACUUUUGCAAGACUAAUGUUCAUGUUAUGUGAUAUGAACCAAGCUCUUAAUGUUUUUUGUGUCAUAUUAACAUGUGAGUUAGGGAGAUAAUCCCUUAAUGAAAAAACAUAUUUAUUUUGCUACUAUAAGAACUUGAAGUUUUGCAAAGGAAAAAAAAAUGAGUUAUUUGAGGACCUAGCUGGCCUGAAAUUGAAGCAUCAGAUAAAUUAAAUGUUUCUCAUUUAAA
Molecule: non-coding RNA, 770 nt
Organism: Macaca mulatta (Rhesus monkey)
Lineage: Eukaryota; Metazoa; Chordata; Mammalia; Primates; Cercopithecidae
Source: RefSeq, a predicted model, not a curated record